RNAcentral lists this ribosomal RNA (1372 nucleotides) under uncultured bacterium. Its description in RNAcentral is "bacterial SSU rRNA". It matches the Rfam family "Bacterial small subunit ribosomal RNA", at positions 28 to 1381 of the family's 1533-position model. The record is from RNAcentral.
GAUGAACGCUGGCGGCGUGCCUAAUACAUGCAAGUCGAGCGAACGGACGAGAAGCUUGCUUCUCUGAUGUUAGCGGCGGACGGGUGAGUAACACGUGGAUAACCUACCUAUAAGACUGGGAUAACUUCGGGAAACCGGAGCUAAUACCGGAUAAUAUUUUGAACCGCAUGGUUCAAAAGUGAAAGACGGUCUUGCUGUCACUUAUAGAUGGAUCCGCGCUGCAUUAGCUAGUUGGUAAGGUAACGGCUUACCAAGGCAACGAUGCAUAGCCGACCUGAGAGGGUGAUCGGCCACACUGGAACUGAGACACGGUCCAGACUCCUACGGGAGGCAGCAGUAGGGAAUCUUCCGCAAUGGGCGAAAGCCUGACGGAGCAACGCCGCGUGAGUGAUGAAGGUCUUCGGAUCGUAAAACUCUGUUAUUAGGGAAGAACAUAUGUGUAAGUAACUGUGCACAUCUUGACGGUACCUAAUCAGAAAGCCACGGCUAACUACGUGCCAGCAGCCGCGGUAAUACGUAGGUGGCAAGCGUUAUCCGGAAUUAUUGGGCGUAAAGCGCGCGUAGGCGGUUUUUUAAGUCUGAUGUGAAAGCCCACGGCUCAACCGUGGAGGGUCAUUGGAAACUGGAAAACUUGAGUGCAGAAGAGGAAAGUGGAAUUCCAUGUGUAGCGGUGAAAUGCGCAGAGAUAUGGAGGAACACCAGUGGCGAAGGCGACUUUCUGGUCUGUAACUGACGCUGAUGUGCGAAAGCGUGGAGAUCAAACAGGAUUAGAUACCCUGGUAGUCCACGCCGUAAACGAUGAGUGCUAAGUGUUAGGGGGUUUCCGCCCCUUAGUGCUGCAGCUAACGCAUUAAGCACUCCGCCUGGGGAGUACGACCGCAAGGUUGAAACUCAGAGGAAUUGACGGGGACCCGCACAAGCGGUGGAGCACGUGGUUUAAUUCGAAGCAACGCGAAGAACCUUACCAAAUCUUGACAUCCUUUGACAACUCUAGAGAUAGAGCCUUCCCCUUCGGGGGACAAAGUGACAGGUGGUGCAUGGUUGUCGUCAGCUCGUGUCGUGAGAUGUUGGGUUAAGUCCCGCAACGAGCGCAACCCUUAAGCUUAGUUGCCAUCAUUAAGUUGGGCACUCUAAGUUGACUGCCGGUGACAAACCGGAGGAAGGUGGGGAUGACGUCAAAUCAUCAUGCCCCUUAUGAUUUGGGCUACACACGUGCUACAAUGGACAAUACAAAGGGCAGCGAAACCGCGAGGUCAAGCAAAUCCCAUAAAGUUGUUCUCAGUUCGGAUUGUAGUCUGCAACUCGACUACAUGAAGCUGGAAUCGCUAGUAAUCGUAGAUCAGCAUGCUACGGUGAAUACGUUCCCGGGUCU